GGCUCUGUGGCGCAAUGGACACCGCGCAUUGGACUUCUAGUUCUAGGUAAUCUCUGAAGAAGUGAUUCAAAGGUUGUGGGUUCGAGUCCCACCAGAGUCG
This 100-nucleotide transfer RNA is filed under the name Perca fluviatilis (European perch). It matches the Rfam family "tRNA". Rfam says of the family: Transfer RNA (tRNA) molecules are approximately 80 nucleotides in length. Their secondary structure includes four short double-helical elements and three loops (D, anti-codon, and T loops). Lineage: Eukaryota; Metazoa; Chordata; Actinopteri; Perciformes; Percidae. The record is from Rfam by way of RNAcentral.